GACGAACGCUGGCGGCGUGCUUAACACAUGCAAGUCGAACGGUAAGGCCCUGCUUUUGUGGGGUACUCGAGUGGCGAACGGGUGAGUAACACGUGAGUAACCUGCCCUUGACUUUGGGAUAACUUCGGGAAACUGGGGCUAAUACCGGAUAGGAGCUCCCGCUGCAUGGUGGGGGUUGGAAAGUUUGGGCGGUUGGGGAUGGACUCGCGGCUUAUCAGCUUGUUGGUGGGGUAGUGGCUUACCAAGGCAGUGACGGGUAGCCGGCCUGAGAGGGUGACCGGCCACAUUGGGACUGAGAUACGGCCCAGACUCCUACGGGAGGCAGCAGUGGGGAAUAUUGCACAAUGGGCGGAAGCCUGAUGCAGCAACGCCGCGUGCGGGAUGACGGCCUUCGGGUUGUAAACCGCUUUCGCCUGUGACGAAGGGUGUGUGACGGUAAUGGGUAAAGAAGCACCGGCUAACUACGUG
RNAcentral lists this ribosomal RNA (468 nucleotides) under uncultured bacterium. Its description in RNAcentral is "partial 16S ribosomal RNA". It matches the Rfam family "Bacterial small subunit ribosomal RNA", at positions 28 to 507 of the family's 1533-position model. The record is from RNAcentral.